GACCAGACUCCUACGGGAGGCAGCAGUGGGGGAUAUUGCACAAUGGGGGAAACCCUGAUGCAGCGACGCCGCGUGAGCGAUGAAGUAUUUCGGUAUGUAAAGCUCUAUCAGCAGGGAAGAAGAUGACGGUACCUGACUAAGAAGCCCCGGCUAACUACGUGCCAGCAGCCGCGGUAAUACGUAGGGGGCAAGCGUUAUCCGGAUUUACUGGGUGUAAAGGGAGCGUAGACGGCGAUGCAAGCCAGAUGUGAAAGCCCGGGGCCCAACCCCGGAACUGCUUUGGAAACUGUGCAGCUAGAGUGCGGGAGAGGUAAGCGGAAUUCCUAGUGUAGCGGUGAAAUGCGUAGAUAUUAGGAGGAACACCAGUGGCGAAGGCGGCUUACUGGACCGUAACUGACGUUGAGGCUCGAAAGCGUGGGGAGCAAACAGGAUUAGAUACCCUCGUAAA
This 448-nucleotide ribosomal RNA is filed under the name uncultured bacterium. RNAcentral's name for it is "bacterial SSU rRNA". It matches the Rfam family "Bacterial small subunit ribosomal RNA", at positions 329 to 794 of the family's 1533-position model. The record is from RNAcentral.